UUAGUAGCCACAGAAUGACAUUGCCUGGAAUUGUACAACUUGUGUAAGGGUACUUACCAUUCUGUGGCUCGUAAUGCACAUGCGUCAGACCAGCUCGGUCAUGUGAGCAGGCCUUGCAUUCCAGCGCUCUUAAAAACGUAUGCGGUGCAGCGCAAGUUGACAAUUAUACUCAGUCAUUGCUUGGUUAUCAAGUUCAUUCUUGUGCCUGGCGUUUUCAUUAUCCUGUUUCCUGUUUUGACUUUUGGCCUGAUCUCCGCUUGUGAACCUUCUCUGCCUACCUCGACCUGGACCUGUCUGGCGUUUCUCCUGCUUGAUCCUUUUGGUACCUUGUUUGGCUCUCCGGCCUCUCUCCACUUCUGCGCUUCCUGUCCUAAACCUCAGGCAAGCCUCCAGCUAGUGUGAGAUGUUUCUGAGCUUGCUCUCAUCUACCUGUCUUCUACGGCUUGACAGUAUAACCAAGUCAUGGACAGGGAGGAAGAAUCUUCUCCUUUCUCUACCCUUGCCCAACCGAUUGCUUCCCUUAAACAGGCAGUGAGGGAGCUUCAGAGAGAGUACAGUCAAGUCCAGGAGCAACUAUGCACUAUGAAACCACCUGCACUAGGACCUGGGCCUCCCGCUGCUGCUGCCUCUGCCUCUGCCUCACCUUCUCCUGAGCCCAAGGUUGCUAUGCCUGAAAAGUUUUCUGGUGACCGUAAAAUUUUUAGAACUUUUAUGAAUGCUUGCAAGCUCCUGUUUACUCUCAAACCAAGAAUGUAUUCUAGUGAGCAAGUCAAGGUGGGAGUCGUGGUUUUCUUAUUGCAGGGGGAACCUCAUUUCACAUCAUGGAACAACGCAGUCCUACCUUACAAUUGGUCGACUCCUUUUUCCAAGCUUUGGCAGUUUUGUAUGAUGAUCCACAUAGGACUGCUACAGCUGAAGCCGGUCUAAGGAAUUUGCAUCAAGGAACCAGACCAGUCGAAGAUUAUACAGUGGAGUUUCAGAAAUUUGCUUCCAACGUGGACUGGAAUCAACCAGCUUUGCAACAUCAAUACCGUUUAGGUCUUUCCUGCGGUUUAAAAGACGAGCUAGCUUGAGUGGGGGUCCCGGUCACUCUAGAUGAACUUAUCCAUUUGUCUAUUCUAGUCGACCUUCGUCUAAGGGAAAGAAAGGUUGAAAAGGCUGGUCAGUUCUAUCCCUCUUGGCUGGUACCAAAGGCUACUCCAGCCAUAUGACCGGAAUCUGGGACUUCAGUUGCUGGCGAGCCAGAACCCAUGCAAAUUGGUGCCCUUUGACCUGCUCUGUCUCCGGAGAAACGUCUACAUUGAAUUCGGCUUAAUCUCUGUUUAUAUUGUGGGCUCGCUGGUCAUCUGCUUCGCAAUUGUCCUACCCGUUCUUCUCCUUUUGGAAGACGAGACCCUAGUCCUCCCAGCCAUACUUGACUCCGGAGCUAGUCGGUGUUUCCUUGAUUUUCAAGUUGCAGAAAUCAAUCAAAUUCCUUUGAAGAAAAAGCAAUUCCCAGUCCUCAUACGCUGAUGGUUCACCUAUAAGCUCUGGUCCCAUUCUGCAUGAAUCACUUCCUUUGUCUCCUACUCUCAAUAAAAUUCAUCUUGAACAUUUAA
This is a long non-coding RNA of Xenopus tropicalis (tropical clawed frog), 1598 nucleotides long. RefSeq lists it as uncharacterized. The transcript has 2 exons. Lineage: Eukaryota; Metazoa; Chordata; Amphibia; Anura; Pipidae. The record is from RefSeq and is a predicted model, not a curated record.